Molecule: unclassified non-coding RNA, 251 nt
Filed under: uncultured marine bacterium
Lineage: Bacteria
Description: partial contains 16S ribosomal RNA, 16S-23S ribosomal RNA intergenic spacer, and 23S ribosomal RNA
Source: RNAcentral
AACGAUACUUUCGUACUAGAGUACCCACACGAGUAAUCAAAUAUUUAAAAGAAGUUCUUUAUAAGUUUUGGUAUGUAAUUUUCUAGUGUUUAUAUCUUUAUGAUAUUUACACCAGUGUCAUAUCUUUUAGAUAUGUACACGUAGAUCACUGCAUUUAAUAGAAGAAAAUUUUAUUAAGUUAUUCUCAAACAAUAACAAAAAAACUUAGUUCGCUUAAAAAGGAGAACUAAGUAUAUAACCCUUUUUUAGGG